UACGUAGGGUGCAAGCGUUGUCCGGAAUUAUUGGGCGUAAAGAGCUCGUAGGCGGUUUGUCGCGUCUGCUGUGAAAACCCGAGGCUCAACCUCGGGCCUGCAGUGGGUACGGGCAGACUAGAGUGCGGUAGGGGAGAUUGGAAUUCCUGGUGUAGCGGUGGAAUGCGCAGAUAUCAGGAGGAACACCAAUUGGCGAAGGCAGUUAACUAUUCGACUCCUGACGUUGAGGCACGAAAGCGUGGGGAGCAAGACGG
Molecule: ribosomal RNA, 254 nt
Filed under: uncultured bacterium
Lineage: Bacteria
Description: partial 16S ribosomal RNA
Rfam family: Bacterial small subunit ribosomal RNA
Source: RNAcentral